RNAcentral lists this ribosomal RNA (253 nucleotides) under uncultured bacterium. RNAcentral's name for it is "partial 16S ribosomal RNA". It matches the Rfam family "Bacterial small subunit ribosomal RNA", at positions 524 to 776 of the family's 1533-position model. The record is from RNAcentral.
GACGUAGGGCGCGAGCGUUGUCCGGAUUUAUUGGGCGUAAAGAGCUCGUAGGCGGCUUGUCGCGUCGACCGUGAAAACUUGGGGCUCAACCCCAAGCCUGCGGUCGAUACGGGCAGGCUCGAAUUCGGUAGGGGAGACUGGAAUUCCUGGUGUAGCGGUGAAAUGCGCAGAUAUCAGGAGGAACACCGAUGGCGAAGGCAGGUCUCUGGGCCGAUACUGACGCUGAGGAGCGAAAGCGUGGGGAGCGAACAGG